UACGGGGGGGGCAAGCGUUGUUCGGAAUUACUGGGCGUAAAGGGCUCGUAGGCGGCCAACUAAGUCAGACGUGAAAUCCCCAGGCUCAACCUGGGAACUGCGUCUGAUACUGGAUGGCUUGAAUUCGGGAGAGGGAUGCAGAAUUCCAGGUGUAGCGGUGAAAUGCGUAGAUAUCUGGAGGAACACCGGUGGCGAAGGCGGCAUCCUGGGCCGGUAUUGACGCUGAGGAGCGAAAGCCAGGGGAGCAAACGGG
This 253-nucleotide ribosomal RNA is filed under the name uncultured bacterium. RNAcentral describes it as "partial 16S ribosomal RNA". It matches the Rfam family "Bacterial small subunit ribosomal RNA", at positions 524 to 776 of the family's 1533-position model. The record is from RNAcentral.